CGCGGCUCGGCGAGGCCAGGGGCGGCAACGGUCCCCGGAGCACCCGGGCGUGGCCCGCCCCCCUAACCGCGGCCCGCUCGCCUCCCGUCUGCCCCCUGCAGGCCGGCUGGCGGGGCUGCGCGCCGGCGGGGCGGACCUGGAGCGCGGAGCCCGAGAGCGGGGCGCGGCCUCGCCGCGAGACCCCGGGCCAUGGCGCGGGUGCUCAUCGUGGGCGCCGGGCUGACGGGAAGCCUGUGCGCAGCGCUGCUCAGGAAGGAGGCGCCCCGUCCUGUGCACCUCGCGGUGUGGGACGAGGCUGGGGACUCAGGUGUGUCGUCGGGCGGUCGAAACCGGGAAAAGGAAGCCGGCGCCUGCGGGCGGCCCACCCCGGGAGGGGGAAGAAUGACUACAGCCAGGAGUCCCUACAAUCCACAGAGCACAGUUGACUUGGGUGCCCAGUACAUCACCUGCACACCUCAUUAUGCCAAACAACACCAAAGUUUUUAUGAUGACCUGUUAGCUCUUGGCAUUUUGAAGCCUCUGACCUCUCCUAUUGAAGGGAUGGUGAUGAAAGAAGGAGACUGUAACUUUGUGGCACCUCAAGGAGUUUCUUCGAUUAUUAAGCAUUACUUGAAAGAAUCAGGUGCUGAUGUCUACUUCAGACACUGUGUGACCCAGAUCAACCUGCGAAAUGACAAGUGGGAGGUCUCCAAGGAAACAGGUCCCCCCGAGCUGUUUGACAUUGUUGUCCUCACAAUGCCAGUUCCUCAGAUUCUGCAGCUUCAAGGUGACAUCGCAAACUUAAUUAGCAAAUGCCAAAGGCAGCAACUGGAGUCUGUGAGCUACUCCUCUCGCUACGCUCUGGGCCUCUUUUAUGAAGCUGGCACGAAGAUUGAUGUCCCUUGGGCUGGGCAGUACAUCACCAGUAAUCCCUGCAUACGCUUCAUCUCCAUUGAUAAUAAGAAACGCAAUAUAGAGUCAUCCGAAAUCGGGCCUUCCCUUGUGGUUCACACCACUGUCCCGUUUGGAGUCACCCACUUGGAGUACAGCACCGAGGAUGUGCAGGAGCUAAUCUUCCAGAAUCUGGAAGGCAUCUUGCCAGGCCUGCCUCGACCAGUUGCGACCAAAUGCCGGAAAUGGAGACAUUCUCAGGUUGGUUGAGCAUCUAGGAUUAGAACCGGUGAGACCUCAUCUUGCUGUGCCCACAUGGAUGUCCCUUAGUGCCACAUUUCGGAAAGGUUGGUUUUAAGGAACCAAAUCAUGGGCUGGACAGCUAACUAGAAUGGAUCAACCUAAAAUAUGGCCGUGCUUGAGGCCACACAGCAAGAUUGUUGUGUUUGGGUAGAUGCCUGAGCUUCCGCCGUCAGCUGAGGUGCGGAAGGAAGAAUGCAUGUCACCAAGUGUAUCGCUGGAUUAUUUUUUGCUAAUUAGCACCUUCAUGUUGUUGACAAUCCCCAUUUUGAAGUCGCUGUUAGCCUUCUGGUCUGCUCCUCUCUCUUGUCAUCUUCAAUUUCAUUCACACCAGAGGGACUCCUUGUGUGUAUGUUUACAGCUAAUAAUCACGACACAAAGAACCCAUUAGGUUAAGCCAUGUGAAGAUGGACAAUAUUUCACAUCUGUGGCCUGCAGAGUCAGCAGCUUUGUGUGGUUCUGCUUCAUAUAUGACACAUGAGAUGUUCACAUGAAACAGUUCACAUGACGAGAGGACAGCCCUGAAUUUGUCACUAUUGAGAGCGUCCUAAAUACAGUAUCUCUUCCAUUUGAGCUUCUGCCAGCUCAGUGGGUGCCUCUGAAUAACACUUUUUGUGUAGAUGGUUCCCUUUGAAGACCUUCAUUUGAUCAAUUGCGUGUACAAUAUUGUCUUUUUUUUUUUUUUUAACUCAAUAAACGUUCAUUGCACACGUAAUAGAGGCUAGGCACCAUCCCCAGCCUUGGAUACAAGGACUGGUGCGGCCCAGCACCUGCUCUUCGAGGCAUGCAGUCUAGGAAGGGAGACAAAUCUGGACGUAAUUACAGUGCAAAACAGCAAGUAACAUCACAGAUAAAAUGACUCGCUGUAAAGGCUCUUGCCCUGCCCGGCAGAGCACGAAGACCUCAGUGCAGGUGACGUUUGUGCUGCUUCUAGAAGGGCAGCGAAGAGGGGGGAAUGGUACACCAUCACCCCGCAGGACGGCUGGUUCAAAGUCACAGAAACACGACAAAGAAGAGCGUGUUUGAAGCACGCUUCAAGGUGAGUCACCUAAACGCCGUGAGAUUGAUUUCCUCCCCAAACUGCAGACUUGGCCAAUCAGCAGCCCAGUCUUCCAGCCACGUGACCUCGCAUCUGGCCCGUACCAGUCAUCAAACGGAAUGACACGGCACCGACAAACUGCCAGCUCACCCUGGGCAGAACGUUCUCCCACCAGCUCCCUCCUGCUUAAUACCUGUUAAUGUGCAGUAGUGAUGCUUUAUCUGUACCGGGAUGUCAGCUGAAAUGUGUCAGAACUUUACCGCACAUGGAGAUUGGUGUGUGCAGGUUACAAAUGCUGCCAUCAACUCCUAUGGCCAGUUGACUCUUCAUCUCAAACCUUUCCUUGUGUGUGGAGGGGAUGCGUUCACCCAGUCCAACUUCGAUGGCUGCAUCACUUCUGCCCGGUGUGUUCUAGAAGCU
Molecule: RNA transcript, 2629 nt
Organism: Mirounga angustirostris (Northern elephant seal)
Lineage: Eukaryota; Metazoa; Chordata; Mammalia; Carnivora; Phocidae
Gene: RNLS
Gene name: renalase, FAD dependent amine oxidase
Exons: 8
Source: RefSeq, a predicted model, not a curated record